Molecule: ribosomal RNA, 314 nt
Filed under: uncultured Spizellomycetales
Lineage: Eukaryota; Fungi; Chytridiomycota; Chytridiomycetes; Spizellomycetales
Description: partial large subunit ribosomal RNA
Rfam family: Eukaryotic large subunit ribosomal RNA
Source: RNAcentral
AUAUCAAUAAGCGGAGGAAAAGAAACUAACAAGGAUUCCCCUAGUAACGGCGAGUGAAGCGGGAAUAGCUCAAAUUUGAAAUCUCAUGCUUUUAGUAUGCGAAUUGUAGUUUGAAGAAGUGUUUUCGGAGGUAGAUCAGGUUAAAGUCCCUUGGAACAGGGCAUCAUAGAGGGUGAGAAUCCCGUCUUUGACUUGAACCCUAUUUCUAUGUGAUACACUUUCAAAGAGUCAGGUUGUUUGGGAAUGCAGCCUAAAAUGGGUGGUAAAUACCAUCUAAAGCUAAAUAUUGGCGAGAGACCGAUAGCGCACAAGUA